Molecule: ribosomal RNA, 252 nt
Filed under: uncultured bacterium
Lineage: Bacteria
Description: partial 16S ribosomal RNA
Rfam family: Bacterial small subunit ribosomal RNA
Source: RNAcentral
UACGUAGGAUGCGAGCGUUAUCCGGAUUUAUUGGGUUUAAAGGGUGCGUAGGCGGAUCGUUAAGUCAGUGGUCAAAUUGAGGGGCUCAACCCCUUCCCGCCAUUGAAACUGGCGAUCUUGAGUGGAAGAGAAGUAUGCGGAAUGCGUGGUGUAGCGGUGAAAUGCAUAGAUAUCACGCAGAACCCCGAUUGCGAAGGCAGCAUGCCGGCUUCCUACGGACGCUGAAGCACGAAAGCGUGGGGAUCGAACAGG